CAGUGCGCCAGCAUGGCACAUGUAUACAUAUGUAACUAACCUGCACAAUGUGCACAUGUCCCCUAAAACUUAAAGUAUAAUAAAAAAAAAAAAAGAAUCUUCAAACCUAAUGCCUAGAACAUUUUAUCAACAUUAAACUUCUAUUUAAAGUUUAUUCUUAGCUAUCUAUAAGAAACGUUUACUAGGAAGCAGAAAAAAUAAGCUCUUUCUAAAAGAGUAUAUUUGCAAUUUGAACUUUCAAAAAUUGAUAAAGCAGUACACACAUUUAUUUUUAGAAAUUGAAGCUGCAAAGCUAAGCAAUUUCCUACUAUGACAUGUGUGUUGGACAGUGUAGGGCAUAGCAAUGAUUAGUGAUUUUCAGCAGCCUUUCUUGAAUAGGCAUUGAAAAUAGCUAAACAAAAAAAGAGAAAUGAGCUGAAUUCUUGGAGUUAAUAUUUUGGAGUGAAUUAUAAAACAGAGUUCUUGCAAUAAUGCAUGUAAAUUAAAAAUAGGUUAGCAAAGCAUGAGUAAAAAUAGUCAAUUUUCAAAUACUUUUCACAGCUCUCCGAGUCUGACAUAUUUCUCUGGCUAAAAGGGAAGAAACAUAUCGGCACUCAUGUUGGGAAGACCUUAGAACAGCAAAGUACUAAAACUUGCCAAACCAACUUCAAGUGGCUUUCUUGUUAGUGCAAUACACACUGCACUGAGUUCCUGAGCAUAAUAUUUCCACCCUUUCCCACGGAGUCUGCUUAAAUUUGAAGAUUUUUUUUCUAGUAGGUGUAUUGUCCUUAAUUUUGGAGGAAGUUUUAAAAAGGUGGAUUAAUGUUAUAUAUGCUUCCGAGAAUAUUAUGCAACCAUGAAGCUUUGCACUUCAACAUAAAUGAAUCCCAAAAAGAGCCAGAUGAACUGUUGGCUGGGAGGCAGAGCCUUAGGAUGUUUCAAAUUCAUCGUGACUUCACAUAAAGGUCCUCUCUGGAGUAUGAAAGUCAAUUUUACAGGUGUAAAAUAAAGGAAAAGACGACAGUCUGAAAGUCAAACGAAAUUCCAGGACCACCUGUAUUUCAGUGAGAGGUUGCCUCUCAUAUCUCUUCAUCAUAUAUACCUCUUCAAAUUCAAUCGAGAUUUCAAUUCGUCUCACUUCUCCCCAACCUUACUCUGAUCUCCUGGUAAUUUUAGAGUAAUUGAGAAUAUUUUCUAACAUACGUGUCAACAUAAUGAAGGAGCUGGGACCUAAGUGAAGAAGCGACAAAAUUUACAGUGGCUUUGAAUGCUGGUUCCUGAAUGGAUUUGCUUGACUGCAAUUCAAUCUUUUUUGUGGCUCAAGGCUCACUCACCUCUAAAAGGCACUUUGUUUGUCAGAAUCGAUUUAAAUCAAUUUCUGUGGAAAUUAAAAUUAAAUAUGGUAUCCCUAAGAUUCUUGCAUUUAUUUCAAUUUUUAAAUUAUUGAUUUAUACAUGAUUUUUAUGCCCCAUCAUUAUAUGAACAUUUAUAUAAUUAGUG
RNAcentral lists this long non-coding RNA (1479 nucleotides) under Homo sapiens (human). RNAcentral describes it as "HSALNT0009565". Lineage: Eukaryota; Metazoa; Chordata; Mammalia; Primates; Hominidae. The record is from RNAcentral.